RNAcentral lists this ribosomal RNA (880 nucleotides) under uncultured Bacillus sp. RNAcentral describes it as "bacterial SSU rRNA". It matches the Rfam family "Bacterial small subunit ribosomal RNA", at positions 9 to 871 of the family's 1533-position model. The record is from RNAcentral. Lineage: Bacteria; Bacillati; Bacillota; Bacilli; Caryophanales; Bacillaceae.
GAGUUUGAUCAUGGCUCAGGACGAACGCUGGCGGCGUGCCUAAUACAUGCAAGUCGAGCGGAUCUUCAUUAGCUUGCUUUUGAAGAUCAGCGGCGGACGGGUGAGUAACACGUGGGCAACCUGCCUGUAAGACUGGGAUAACUUCGGGAAACCGGAGCUAAUACCGGAUAAUCCUUUCCCUCACAUGAGGGAAAGCUGAAAGACGGUUUCGGCUGUCACUUACAGAUGGGCCCGCGGCGCAUUAGCUAGUUGGUGAGGUAACGGCUCACCAAGGCAACGAUGCGUAGCCGACCUGAGAGGGUGAUCGGCCACACUGGGACUGAGACACGGCCCAGACUCCUACGGGAGGCAGCAGUAGGGAAUCUUCCGCAAUGGACGAAAGUCUGACGGAGCAACGCCGCGUGAACGAUGAAGGCUUUCGGGUCGUAAAGUUCUGUUGUCAGGGAAGAACAAGUACCGGAGUAACUGCCGGUACCUUGACGGUACCUGACCAGAAAGCCACGGCUAACUACGUGCCAGCAGCCGCGGUAAUACGUAGGUGGCAAGCGUUGUCCGGAAUUAUUGGGCGUAAAGCGCGCGCAGGCGGUUCCUUAAGUCUGAUGUGAAAGCCCCCGGCUCAACCGGGGAGGGUCAUUGGAAACUGGGGAACUUGAGUGCAGAAGAGGAGAGCGGAAUUCCACGUGUAGCGGUGAAAUGCGUAGAGAUGUGGAGGAACACCAGUGGCGAAGGCGGCUCUCUGGUCUGUAACUGACGCUGAGGCGCGAAAGCGUGGGGAGCGAACAGGAUUAGAUACCCUGGUAGUCCACGCCGUAAACGAUGAGUGCUAAGUGUUAGAGGGUUUCCGCCCUUUAGUGCUGCAGCAAACGCAUUAAGCACUCCG